This 253-nucleotide ribosomal RNA is filed under the name uncultured bacterium. RNAcentral describes it as "partial 16S ribosomal RNA". It matches the Rfam family "Bacterial small subunit ribosomal RNA", at positions 524 to 776 of the family's 1533-position model. The record is from RNAcentral.
UACGUAGGGGGCUAGCGUUGUCCGGAAUCAUUGGGCGUAAAGCGCGUGUAGGCGGCCCGGUAAGUCCGCUGUGAAAGUCGGGGGCUCAACCCUCGGAUGCCGGUGGAUACUGUCGGGCUUGAGUACGGAAGAGGCGAGUGGAAUUCCUGGUGUAGCGGUGAAAUGCGCAGAUAUCAGGAGGAACACCAAUAGCGAAGGCAGCUCGCUGGGACGGUACUGACGCUAAGGCGCGAAAGCGUGGGGAGCGAACAGG